Molecule: ribosomal RNA, 341 nt
Filed under: uncultured bacterium
Lineage: Bacteria
Description: partial 16S ribosomal RNA
Rfam family: Bacterial small subunit ribosomal RNA
Source: RNAcentral
CCUACGGGAGGCAGCAGUGGGGAAUAUUGCACAAUGGGGGAAACACUGAUGCAGCGACGCCGCGUGAGUGAAGAAGUAUUUCGGUAUGUAAAGCUCUAUCAGCAGGGAAGAAAAUGCCGGUACCUGUUUAAGAAGCCCCGUCUAACUACGUACCAGCACCCGCGGUAAUAAGUAGGGAGCAGGCGUUAUCCGGAUUUACUGGGUGUAAUGGGGGCGUAGUCGGCAGUAUAAGUGCGGAGUGAAAUGGCGGGGCUUAACCCCGGAACCGCUGUGGAAACUGGGCAGCUAGAGUGGAGGAGAGGUAAGUGGAAUGCGUGGUGUAGCGGUGAAAUGCGUAGAUA